This 467-nucleotide ribosomal RNA is filed under the name uncultured bacterium. Its description in RNAcentral is "partial 16S ribosomal RNA". It matches the Rfam family "Bacterial small subunit ribosomal RNA", at positions 29 to 507 of the family's 1533-position model. The record is from RNAcentral.
ACGCACGCUGGCGGCGUGCUUAACACAUGCAAGUCGAACGGAAAGGCCCUGCUUUUGUGGGGUGCUCGAGUGGCGAACGGGUGAGUAACACGUGAGUAACCUGCCCUUGACUUUGGGAUAACUUCAGGAAACUGGGGCUAAUACCGGAUAGGAGCUCCUGCUGCAUGGUGGGGGUUGGAAAGUUUCGGCGGUUGGGGAUGGACUCGCGGCUUAUCAGCUUGUUGGUGGGGUAGUGGCUUACCAAGGCUUUGACGGGUAGCCGGCCUGAGAGGGUGACCGGCCACAUUGGGACUGAGAUACGGCCCAGACCCCUACGGGAGGCAGCAGUGGGGAAUAUUGCACAAUGGGCGGAAGCCUGAUGCAGCAACGCCGCGUGCGGGAUGACGGCCUUCGGGUUGUAAACCGCUUUCGCCUGUGACGAAGCGUGAGUGACGGUAAUGGGUAAAGAAGCACCGGCUAACUACGUG